AUUAAUACCCUAUGACACUUUUAAGUCACAUGACUUUUAAGUCAAAGCGUUUAGCGGUAUUAGAUGGUCUCGCGUCCCGUUAGCUAGUUGGUGAGAUAAUGGCUCACCAAGGCAACGAUGGGUAGCCGGCUUGAGAGAGUGAACGGCCACACUGGAACUGAGACACGGUCCAGACUCCUACGGGAGGCAGCAGUGGGGAAUCUUGCACAAUGGAGGGAACUCUGAUGCAGCGACGUCGCGUGAACGAUGAAGGCUUUCGAGUCGUAAAGUUCUGUCCUAUGGGACGAUAAUGACGGUACCAUAGGAGGAAGCCCCGGCUAACUACGUGCCAGCAGCCGCGGUAAUACGUAGGGGGCGAACGUUGUCCGGAUUUAUUGGGCGUAAAGGGUACGCAGGCGGCCAUAUAAGUCAGAUGUGAAAGGCCAAGGCUUAACCUUGGUUAGCAUUUGAAACUGUGUGGCUUGAGUUAAGGAGAGGAAAGUGGAAUUCCUGGUGUAGCGGUGAAAUGCGUAGAUAUCAGGAGGAAUACCAGUGGCGAAGGCGACUUUCUGGACUUAUACUGACGCUGAGGUACGAAAGUGUGGGGAGCAAACAGGAUUAGAUACCCUGGUAGUCCACGCCGUAAACGAUGAGUGCUAGGUGUCGGGGGUCAAACCUCGGUGCCGCAGCUAACGCAUUAAGCACUCCG
RNAcentral lists this ribosomal RNA (688 nucleotides) under uncultured bacterium. RNAcentral's name for it is "bacterial SSU rRNA". It matches the Rfam family "Bacterial small subunit ribosomal RNA", at positions 162 to 871 of the family's 1533-position model. The record is from RNAcentral.